Aedes albopictus (Asian tiger mosquito) is the source of this 14364-nucleotide long non-coding RNA. RefSeq lists it as uncharacterized. The record is from RefSeq and is a predicted model, not a curated record. Lineage: Eukaryota; Metazoa; Arthropoda; Insecta; Diptera; Culicidae. The transcript has 2 exons.
UUUUUAUAUUUCUAAAAUAAAUGGAAAAAGUGAUUAAUUUUUUUUAGAUUUAGAUUAAAUUAAAUUAGAAAGGUUUUUUUAAUAUUAAUUUUUAAUUUAAUGUCUUAAAUAUAAUUGAAAAAUUUAUAAAAUAAAAAUUUUCUAUAGCUUUACAUAGAAUACAAAUAAGUAGCACAAAAUAGGUAUCUACAAGUUUCCAAAAUAGUUUUUAAUUCAGCUUAAUGUUUGUGAGAGUGUGGGUUCGAUUCCCGCUGCAAUUGGUGAAAUAUUUUUGGCUAACGGCAAAUUCUUCACUGGAUGUGUUUUGUGUGAUGUCCAUCGCCUAAUGUUAGUGAUUGUUCAAUGUUCAGUCUGCACAGCCUCUGGUUGAAGACGGUGUUUUUUUAGUGGUUGUUCAAUAUAUGGUUGUCUAAUUGUUUUGUUGAGACAAGGUAAUUCAAAUUUUAGAUUUUUGUUGAGAUAAGAUUAUAUUUCUUAGAUUCUCACAAAAAAAAACAAGAUUUACAGCGACUAAAUUGUAUUGCUGAAGUUUAGACUUUAAUAUCCAUUAGAAAGAUCUUCAAUUUUAAAGGAACCUACAAAAAAAUUUUUUGAGAUAAGCCUGCCAAUCCCUACAUGUAUUUUGAGACUUUGAAGCAGUUUAAACAUUUGAUAUGAAACUUCGAGAAAUCUAUUCAGAACUAACUCAACGUACAUAUGUACAGAUGGGUAAAUUAUCGGUUAAAUUGGGAAAAAAUCCACAGCUCAGGUGAGAUUUGAACUCACGACCCUUAUUCGCUAGACAAGGGGCCAUGCACAAAUUACGUCACGCUUUUAGGGGGGAGGGGGAGUUUUGCAUACCGUGACGACCCAUACAAAAAUGUUUGAGGUCCCAUACAAAAAGUGUGACAUAGGGUGGAGGGGGGGUUGAAAAAGGUCGAUUUUUGCGUGACAUAAUUUGUGUAUCACCCCCAAGUGCUUUACCAACUAAGCUACCGAGCCAAUUAAUGACCCGGCAACUUAGUUGUCAUAAGGUAAUUCAAAUCUCAUCGAUCUAUAUCAUCUUCCCCAUCUGUACAUAUGUACGUUGAGUUAUUUGAAAUUUAUAAUUGACCACACGGAUUGGUAUUACCGAAAAUUUGCACUUUGAGUAAGUCUAUAUAGAACUUUAAUGAAAAUUUUCUGACUGAAACACCAACAUUUGCUUGGUCUACAGUCUAUUUUAAAUCUCCAGAAUAUUCCUCGGUGAAGAAAACUAAGUAAUUGGUAAUUCUGAUAAUAUAAAACAAAUAAUUCUGUGAAUCAAUACCAUGAUUUUUUUUUCCUUGAAGAAGUAACUUACAACUAAAAGAUAAUGUAUUAUGAAAUAAAAUGUAUGAAAUAACUGUUGAAGAGAAUCUCAUAAAAAAUGCGACAGAAUUUGUUUCGUUUGUAGAUUCUUGUUUCCUAAUUUUUAUGUCAAUGUUGUCCACGUGGACAUUUGACGAACCCCCACCCCCCUCUCCGUGGACAAGUGUGGACUUUUCGCUAACCCCCUCCCCCCUCCAAGCUGUCCACGUGGUAUAUGGACGGCCCCUGAGGGGUUUGUCGGCCAAAAUACUUGAAACAUGGUCGAGUACCUUUAACUUGAUUGUGAAAGAUUUGAGGCAAAUUUUGAGUUCAAAAGGUUCUAAAUAAACCCCUAUGAUGGAGAUAACAACAUGACUGAAAAUAGGUAAGUUCCCCUAUGUUAAACUUUCUAGAAAUUGUUACUGAAGAUUUUUCUAAAUUUAUUGAAGAUUCCGGUUAAAACUGUUAAUGGUUUCUUUAGAAGAAUUUCAGGAGGAAUUUUUGGUAAAAUAAAUGGAGGAAUAUCCGGAGGAACUCAUAAAGGAAUCUCUAUAUGAAUUUUUUUUGUUGCAGAAAUCACUGAAAGAAUAUGUAGGGAAGUGGAACCAUCUCGGCACGGGUCCUAUUUUGGGCACUUUUCUGCUAUAACUCAGCCAAUUUCGAACCAAUUGGCUUCUUUAGUGGUGUUGAGAUAAUUUCAUGUUCUGAAACUGCAUGCCAAACUGAGUCGAAAUCCAAAUUUUCAUCAAUUUUGGUGCCCGGGAACCUAUUUAAAAAUCAGUUUGAAAUUUGUAUGAGAGCGAUUUGUCGAAUCACCCCUCGUCGCAUUUUGUACUGAGUGGAGCUGUCAAGCAGUUGCCCAGCUGUCAAAAGGUGAUUUCAAAAAACCUCUUUGAAAUUGAUUUUAGAUACCAAAAUAAGUUCUAAAAAUCUGAAAAAAAUCAUAGCGGCUCAGAAAAUAGUGCUCUUUUGUUUAAAAAUAAAAAAAUCAUUGAAUUUUUCUUAAUUUAAAAACCCAAUUGACACAAUUUUUGGAACGCGAUGAGAUACGUUUAGUAUCUAGCGGUGUACAAAAUUUCAAGUCAAUUGGAUUGGAAUUGACUGAGUUAUAGCGAAAAGUACCCAAAAUACCGGCCGCUGCCCAAGCGGGUCGCUACCCUACUGGAAUCACUUAAUAAAAUAAAGGAAGAACUUAUGGAAAACUUCCUGGAGACAAAGAAGAAGCCUUGGAUGAAUUUCCGAAGCUACUGACGGGUCGCUACCCUACUGGAAUCACUUAAUAAAAUAAAGGAAGAACUUAUGGAAAACUUCCUGGAGACAAAGAAGAAGCCUUGGAUGAAUUUCCGAAGCUACUGAUGGGGAAUUCUGGGAUUACUAUGUAAAUAUAAUUCCUGGAGCUGUUUCUGACGGGGGAACGUCCAUAAGUAACGCUACGCUUUGAGGAGGGAGGGGCUCCGAAAAUUGUGAUAAUUUCAGAGGAGGCCCUAUACAAAAAGUGUGGGGUUGAAAAUGGACCUUCUUUUGCGUAACCUAUUUAAUGAAAUUUCUAAUAAAUUAAUGGUGCCAUUUUAGGAGGUUCUCCAUAGAAAUUUAUGAAAGAACAUAUGGCAUCUCUAAAAAUAUUUCUAAGAGAACAUUCGGAUUUUUUAAAAGAAUCCUCUCAACUUCAAGAAACUUCUCAAAGAAUUCUGAAUUUUUUUCUAGAAGAAUUCUUGGUGAAAUUUCUGAAGAUUUAAUGAAAACCUCCAAGAAUGUCAUUCGCAAAUUGCCAUGAAAAUCUUCCAAGAGUAUACAAAGAAUAUGUAGGAGAAUGAGUUUAUGGACCUAAUGAAAAUAUCGCCAAGAAUUUUGUUGAUAAUCCGUUAUGGGUUUCAAAAGAGUCUAGCUUAGUACUUAAAAAGAAUAAGUAAGGAUCUUAACAGUAUUGCUGUAGGAAAUCAUUAAAUGAAAUCACAAGAAAAAAUACAAUAGAUUCACAAGAAGAACUUCAGAAAAAUAAGCCUAAUAUGCACAAGGAAAAAAAUAGAAACUGUUUGAAAAUGACCACUGUUAUUGGUAUUAGAUUUAAACAGCUUGGCGUGAAAAAAAAUCUUUGUCAUUUUCUCAUCGGUGUGGGAAAUUUUGUUCGGCGGCGUGGAAAAAUAUGAACAGAGGCGCGCCGGGUCAAUUUGACUUGCGGCGGCGGCGUGAAAAAAUUGUCGGCGACGGCGGCGCGGCGCGGCGGCGCACACGUCUAACUACUCUAAGUAAGGGGGAGUAAGGAAAGUAAUAAAAGAACACGGUGGAUAGAUACUAUAGAGAUACGGUUAUAUAAAAAAAAAUUAUAAAAGGAUCAGUUCUCGCUCCUGUACACAAUUUGAGUUCUAUUUUGGUUCCAUAUCAACUAUUCAACACUUUAGAUCGAUCGAAAAACUAUAUUUUAGUACAGCCCAUUCUAAGGUUUUAUACAAUUUACUAUGGGGAAAUUUACUUUUUUGAAGAAAAAUCACCAAUAAUUAUCCCUUCAUCCCUAAAAUACAGUCCAUGAAUGAUUUCUGUAGGAAACUUUACUUUGAAGUGAACAAUAGUGCGUCAGAUUGAAUGUUCUGUUUUUUUUUUCAUUAUUAAUUUAUUUUAAAGACCCUUUAACUGAAUGGAAAACAUUCGGGUCCGUGUAUGUUCUGUCGUGUCGCUUGUAGUUAAAUAUCACGGUCCGACAUUUUUUUUGCCCAGCUCCAAAUUUGACCUUUUCUGAUUGCUCCCGACUAGACAAAAGUUCGCACCUAACAGUCUCCACAAAAUAACUAUUACACGGAAAGACAACAAUUUCGUUUUUCAUUGCCUAAUGAUUCCCUAUCAUGUUACUUUCAAACCAUAGCACUAGAUUUUAUCGAGUGCUUUUUGUAGCUCUAGUAAUAAAGUUUUUAAUGCAAGUACUUCAAUGUGAACUUUUGCCCCAUACUUGGGGAAAAAGUUCGCAUAGUGCGGGGCAAACGAUUGCACAUGAUGAAAGAUAUCCUUUCACUAUAGCCACGGAAUGUUUCUUUCCAUUUAUAGCAUUACAUCCCUACUGGAAUACAGCUUGGUUAUCAGUUUUUGUAUACAAUGUAUUUAAAAUAGGCCAAGAAGAAGAAAAAGAAGAAGAAGAAUAUCCAAUAUUGUCCACCUCAGACCUUUCCCUCUCCCCCUAGUAGGCUUUUACACAUGCCUUUUUUUUAAUGCAGCGUAGAUACCUGCUUUGUCCCAUUAAGAGUAUACGGAGCUUCAUGAUGCAUGUGAAAAAUGACGAUUUGUUAAUUUAAAUCAAUUUAGUCAGUAUAACACUUUAUUUUAAAAUGACAUUAUAAAAAAAAUCUACAGUUACCGGUAUAAAAAAGAUCCACCAUAUAGUGAUUACAGCUUCUAAUAAAAAAAAUACAUGCGAAAAUGAUAAAAUAUACCUUUUAAUGAAUGCACUACAUCCAUUUUACAUUGUUUUAGUAAUCUGUUUUGAGAAAUAACUGGCUUUUAAGGAAUAAAGUGAUUUCUCAUAAGAUUGGGAAAAUUACUAAAAAAUUGGGUAUGACAGAAAAAAAGAUCCACCUAGCAAUUAAUUCUGAAACUUUAAAAUGUCGUCAAGGUUCGAAAAAUUUUAAUGAUCAAAGUGUAGAUGAUAGAAUAUACCUCCAGCAAGCUUCAGUACAAGCAGAUGGAGGUGAUCAUUGCGAUACACAAACGUGAGAGUGUUUUGAGUUAUCAAAUAAUCAUUGUGAAGAUUUCACAACAUUUGCAUUUCUUUGCAUUAGUCGACCAAAACCCAUAAAAAUUGUCCAAAAAAGUGUAUCCCUGUAUGUCUGCAUGCUGAAUUAUUGUUAUACUGUAGAAUAAUAGCAAUAAUAAUAAUGUUUACAGAUUGUUUCUGUAGUUUAGGGAAAAUUUUACCCAUUAUAACCAUGAAAAAUAAAUUCGCCCCAUAUCACGCUAAAAUUGAUAAAACUCAUAUCAAAACAAACUUCAUAUGUCGAAAACAUCACAAUAGCAUACACCAAGAAGCAAACCUGUGAAAAUUUGAAGUUUCAGAAUUAAUUGUUAAGUGGAUCUUUGUUUUUGCCAUACCCAAUUUUUAAACAUUUUUUCCCAAUCUUAUCAUAAAUCACUUUAUUCUUCAAAAACUAAAUAUAUCUCAACACAGAUUACUGAAACUUUGUAAAAUGGAUGUAGUGCAUUCAUUGAAAGGUAUAUUUUAUCAUCUUUGCAAGUAGUUUUCAUUAGAAACUGUAACCACUAUAUGGUGGAUCUUUUUAUGUGCCGGUCACUGUAACAAAUUGUUAAUAAAUUGUUUUGUGGGUACAAGCUAGACCGCAUUCAAUGGAAAUACUAUUUUAAGAUUUAUUAGAAACCCUGCGGUGAUGCUCAACAUUAGGUAGAUCGUACUUUGUCGACCACAUAAAGUCAGUCAACAUGCUUCAAAGACAUCUUACAUCCCAUUUUUCUGAGGUGUUCUAUCAUCGUUUCAACUAAUUCUCGAUAGUUUGCAGUUCGAUUGUUUCCCAAAAAAAUCCAUGUUACUAAUACAAGCCUUUGCCAUGCAUGCUUCUCAUUUUUACUAGGAAGAAGUUCUUGAAAUUUUUCAUUUUCUAUGAUCUUUUUGAUUUGAGGACCAACAAGAAUGCUUUCUUUCAACUUACCUUCAGAUAUGGCAGGAAAUAAUUCCCGAAGAGAUCCAUAGCUUUUAUUUGGUGGGUGACUUAGCGAUACUGAUGUUUUUUUUAUAUAUUCUGUUACCAUAGACACCGUGUUCUCCCUCUUUUUAUAUGAUUGAUUUUCCACUUUGUUUUGACGCUUGAUCUCACUCCACAUUUCAUUCUGUGCCUAUCUGUCAUCAACAAUUACGUUUCUCACCGCGCGACUUACGACUCAUCGACCACAAUGUAUCUACUCCUCAGCGAUUAGAAUCCAGUCAUUCCAUAGAAAAUCGAUAGAGUGGAUAUCAUAAUGUCGUGAUGUUUGGGUACGAUUUUUGUUUAUUUUAAAACAUUAGACCAUAUAUGUUUAUAUUGUCAUUGGCGUGACCAGGAUGGUCCAAAAAAUAAAGAAUGUUGAAAAUCGGUUAUCUGGUUAAAAGUAAUGAUUUUUUUUUUAAAUUAUAAGUUUAGAAAACCUUGAUUUUUUGGACCAUCCUUUCUUAAGGACAAACGUCUUGAAAUCCUGCUUCAACAGUGCAUAAGAACUUCAGACGCACAAAUCUCGAGAAACUAGCUCCAACCAACAGUGAAUUUUAUUAUUCUGUUCUUGCUCACUCGUAAUAAGCUUAAAAUAAGAAGAUCAGAUGCGCUGGUUUUGUUUACGAAGAGAUGUGUGCGCUUGAAAUCGUGAGUAGGUGCCAAAGUCGGCCAAUGUGACGGCCAUUUUGGGACUCUAACAAGUCUGUCCUUAACCCUCUAAUACCCAUUUUUUUAUUUUGAUCUUAACAUCAUUAUUCGUUAUCUUAAAUCGAUUAAAACGUGAUUUGGUUGAAAAUACUUUUUAUACGUGAUUUUAAGAAUUUCUGAUUUUUUUUCUAAUUUUUAUUUUUGAACAUCCCUACAAUAUUAUAUUUUUCCUUAAAGCCAAUUUAAGUUCUCAUUGUUUGAGUCAAAAACAUUAUGCGAUUUUGUGAUUACUGUUGACAUGUUUUGAUUUUUUAAGACUGACUCAAAGUGCAAAUUUUCGGUAAUACCAAUCCGUGUGGUCAAUUAUGAUUUUCAAAUAACUCAACGUACAUAUGUACAGAUGGGUAAAUUAUUGAUUAAAUUGGGAAAAAAAUCCACAGCCCAGGUGAGAUUUGAACUCACGACCCUCAAUGAUUUUUUAAGAUUCUUUUGGAUAAUUUAAUUUUUCGUGUUAUUUUUGGGUAAAUAAUGCUAGUGUUCAAUUCCGCUAAACUAUUUUACGAUGAUAGAAUGGAUGGGGAAAAUUUUGUAAUAAGUAAAUUGUCGCGACUUAAUACAAAAGAAACACCACCAGAUGUCACCAAAGCAUAAAUUUUUAGAUGAUAAAAAAGGAAAUACGCUUCAGAAGACAUUAUAAACCAUUUUCAGAUAUGCUUAACAAUCCUAUAGCUAUAUAGCUAUAGCUAUCAGCUAUAAAAUACAAAAAUGUCCUAACUAUACCCCGCCCUAAGUAGGGGUUGGGUAUUAGAGGGUUAAAAUUGGUAACUGUAAUGUCAACAUAAAAAUAAAAUAUGAUCCAAUAUUUUUCAAAGAACGACAAACUCAUCAAAUAUAACGUCCACUGUAUUGAUUUCCUGUGGAAUGGCUGAAUUUCAAAAAAAAUAUGAACUUUUGCACAAGUUCACUUAUUUGGCGUUCGGGCGGUGCCAUGUUUACACAGAAUGAACUUGUUUUCAUGGCCACCUAGAUAAUACGACUCCGCAAAAAAGUCAAUCGAUCGAACACGUGCACUGAUCCACAUUUCCCUUCUUUUUUCACCAUGGAACAAUGAACCACUGCACAAUGAUCCAGUGCCGUAUCUGUAGCUAAACUAAAAGCUUUACACCUAAACUAUUAGAUUUUGCUAUGUUGUCAAUAUUGUAAAAUUAGGGAGUUUUCAAUAAACCAAUUUAAAAAAGCUAUCCUUGGGUUUCUUCUAAAAAUGGUUUAUUUUUAGCACUUCUUAUGUUAUGAUGGUUCAAGUGAAUUUUCAAUUUAUUAGUAUUGUUCAAAAAUUGAAUGUUUUUCAAUGUUUAAGGUGACUCCCUGUAUCACUCCUAUUUCAGCACUUCUUUUUCGACUCUUAUUUCUAACAAUCAUCGAGCGCAACAGUAGUGGUGUUGCCUUUUUAUAUUUGUUCUAUAAACAAACAAACAAAAAUAGCACCUCUUUGUCUCGCUUUCACCAAUGUAAACAUUUCAAGAUUAUUAAUUAUUUAAAAGCAAUUCAAGCAGUAGACUACUCUGUUUUGCUAAAUAACAAUGAAACAUGUCUCAAUAUUACGAAAAACACCGAAUUUUAUGUGUAAUAAGCUAAAAAUGAUCGAAUACUCUUAGUAUGCUCUUCCGCUGUUGAUGUUUGCAAGCAGCAGCAGUGUUGGCGGACAGUGCGGAGGAGAUUUCACAAAUAAAAAUUAUUUGCUUUUAUUACUAUCAUAUGUGAUUCAAAGUAAAACAAUAAUCAUUUGAAGAAUAGUUUUCGAUUUUACGACGUAUAAUCGAUAAAUUUGAGUUGACCAUUUCAAUGAUUUUGAUUGAUUUUAUUGAUGAAUUGGCCCGCGAGAUCGACAUCACUGCGUUCAAUGAUCGAUGAUUGUGCGCCGGACGGCACCGUCGCGUCGCGCUGCUGCUGUCGUCGUUGUACUGUGGUGGGUGGUAAACAUUGCCAUCGAACUCUUGGUGCGGUUGAGACAAAUUUGAAUAAUUUUCAAGUUUGAGUGCAAAUAUUUCUUUGUGGUAUAGAUAGUUCGAAAGAGAAUUUUAAUUGGAAUAGUGUGUUCUAUAUUUCUUUUCAAAAUAUCUUCAAAAUUUUAGAGAAAAGGUAAGCGUCGAUUUUCUUACGUAAAUGUAUUAGUGCAAUACUGUGUAAAGUUGAAUUUGGAUCAUACGCGCCAACUUGUGACGUAGUUGGGGGGGGGGGGGGGGGGCGAGGCCUCUCAAAACCAAUCAAAUUCGGAAAAUUUCGACGCAGUUCAUCUAGUUUAGGCAUAUUUACGUUAAAACUAGUGCAUUGAGCUGAAAAAAGAUGAAUUUUGUCCAAUUUUGGAGAGCUUCGCCCCCCAACUACGUCACAAGUUGGCGCCUAUGAUUUGGAUGAUGAUUCUGAAGAAGCCAUUUUGUGAUGACACAAGAAAAGGCCUUAAUGUUAAGUAUACAGGGUGUUAGGUUCCUGAGUGCAAACUUUUUAAAGGGUGAUAGAGGACCAUAAAUGGUGAAAAAAAUUGUUCUACGCAUAUGGUCAAAUCUCAACCGUUACGUAGUUAUUGAACUUGCCAUGUUUUUGACUCUUAUUGCCAUAACUGGCAAUAACUUGAAAAUGGUCAAACUUAUCGAAGUUUUUUUACCCUUAUUCGAAAGAUUAUUGAAUUUUCUAUCAAAUGGCAUCUUUGAAACGAUUGUUUUAGUUAAAUAACUAAGUUUUCUAGAGCAAAAUAGCUAAAAAUAGUGUAUUUUUAUUGGUUUUUAUCAAUUAUCUUUGAAAAAUGCGUAAUAAAUUAAAAUUCUUUCUUGGGCAAAGUUGUGGCCCCUGUUACACUCUACAAUUCGUUCUUUGACACCAAACUUCUAGCUCUUAUCGUUUUCUUGCAAUUUCGAUUUAAAUGUGCGGCACAAUGCGCAAAAAAGUGCUUUUCAUUACAGUUGCAAAUUUAUGAUCUGAUAUGCGAUGGUAAAAUCGAAAUUGCAACAAAACGAUAAGAGCGAGAAGUUUGAUGUCAAAGAACGAAUUGUAGAGUGGAACAGGGCCACAACUUUGCCUAAGAAAGAAUUUUAAUUGAUUACGCAUUUUUCAAAGAUAAUUGACAAAAAAAAAUUAAAACACACUUCUUUUGAGCUAUUCGCUUUAGAAAACUUAGUUAUUUAACUAAACCAAUCGAUUCAAAGAUGCCAUUUGAUAGAAAAUUCAAUAAUCAUUCGAAUAAGGGUAAAAAAACUUCGAUAAGUUUGACCAUUUUCAAGUUAUCGCCAGUUAAGGCAAUAAGAGUCAAAAACAUGGGAAGUUCAAUAACUACGUAACGGUUGAGAUUUGACCAUAUGCGUAGAACAUUUUUUUCACCAUUUAUGCUCCUCUAUCACCCUUUAAAAAGUUUGCACUCAGGAACCUAACACCCUGUAUAUAGUAUAAUUAUCUUGUCUCGAACAUAGAAUUCCCUGAAGAAGAUGUAAUACACAUCGAAACGUCGGAUGAAGGAGAAUAUCUGAUCGUUUGAUUGCAAUUGCGACUGCCACGCCGAAAAUCCUCCCAGGUGUUUAAAAACUCAGAUUAAUUUUGGUAUUUAUGGAUAAAUAAUGUUGAAAUAAAUAAAAAACACCUUUGUGCAAAUACACAUUUGGAGCAUGAAGUUGAGUUGAGAACUCGAUUGUUCUUCAUAAUAUCAUGACAAUUGAAAGGAAAUGUAAGCAUGUGGAGCACAAUGUACUAUACUCUGGAAGAAAUUGGUAGAAAUCAUCAGAAUAGUUCAUAUUAUUCAAUAAACAGCAUGUAUUUAUAAUUUCUGUAUCAGUCUAUGCAUAUCUCCAUGAUUACUUCAUAAUUUAUUUUGACAACUCUAGUAACCUUGGGAAAAAAAACUAUUAGGCUCAGUGUACCAGUUAUGGCUAUAGUACCUCAAAUUCGCCAUAGUUGAUUUUUAACCUUUAAUGAUGCAUAUCCAAGGAUGGGAACAUUUUUCUCAGCUCAGAAGCGUGCAAUCAAGAAACGAUAUAUGGACGACUUUUGCCUUGUGGUUUGGUCUAAAAGUUUGCCGAAUACAGUAAAGGUCGCACACGCAUACCGAAGUCGUAAGGGAGCUGUGAAGGCAACUUUCCACGAGGUGAAUGUAAUUUACACUCACCUCGUGGAGAGUCGCUUUCAGAAAUCUGUCACGACUUUGGGAUUCGUGUGCGACCCCAACUCCAUUUGGCAAAGUUUUAGACAAAACCACAAGGUAAAAGUCGUCCAUAUAUCGUUUCUUGAUUGCACGCUUCUGAGCUGAGAAAACUGCAAGUGAGUGAAACUCUUUGCAAGUGAGUUCCCAUCCCUGUGCAUAUCAAUAAAAAAAAUAUCAUGAACAAUAUAUCACAUUCACAAAAGAUGAUUGCGAUCAUUCAAACUUCACAAUUUGCUCAAAUUGUGAUAGAAAUAAAUCAUUUUCCUUAACUUUUCGGCUUCCUUGCACCCUAUUUCGCCAUAGUGUACCAGUUAUGGCUAAUCCCAUAAGGAAUGCAUGUAAAUAGUGCGAAGUGGAACUCAAAUUAACAAAUGUGUCCAUAACUGGUACAGGGUUCCUAUCAUUGGCACACACCGUAAUAAAUACUAAAAGUUGUUUUGACUCCGUUUCUAUAUUUUUCCUGUAAAGUAUGAAAACUAAUCAAUCAUUUGACACAUCGAUGACAUUCGUCGGUAUUCUUCUUAUUUUUGUAGAAAUAGUUUUCCUUAGGUAGUGCGAUAACUGGUACACUGGCACAGGCACCCUAUAUAAUAGUAUGUGGAAGUAAUCAUUAAAUACGUUGUAUACAAAAACUGAGAACCAAGCUGUAUUCCAGUUGGGAUAUAAUGCUAAAAAUGGAAAGAAACACAUUUCGUGGAUUUAGUGAAAGGAUAAACAUGAAUUAACUUGAAAUUAAUGGACUUUGUACCAUUAAACUAUCUUUUGUCAUGUGUAAACUUUUGCCCCGCACAAUGCGAACUUUUUCCCCAAGUAUGGGGCAAAAGUUCGCAUUGAAGUACUUGCAUUAAAAACUUUAUUACUAGAGCUACAAAAAGAAUUCGAUAAAAUCUAGUGAUACGUUUUGAAGGUUACAUGAUAAGGAAUCGUUAAGCAAUGAAAAACGAAAUAGUUGUCUUUCCGAGUAAUAGUUGCCCCUCAUUACUUUAUAGGCAAUUGUUUUUUUUUUUUUUUUUUAUCAGUAUUAACGAGAUUUUUAGCCCUAGGCUAGUUCAUCUCGGGACCCACGCUUUACUUCCCUUCCGAAGGAAGAACUCACAUUUUGCGAGUUUGUCGGGAGUGGGAUUCGAUCCCAGGUCCUCGGCGUGAUAGUCAAGUGUUCUAACCAUCACACCAGGUCCGCUCCACAUAGGCAAUUGUAAGCAACUAACCCCAUGCAAAUGCGAAAGUAUAAGUCAAGUAAUUGUCUCUCUUAGAAAGUCAAAAUAAGUGUAGAAUUAGCUAUAAGUUAAAAUACACAUUAAUAAAAAAAAGAAAGUCAAAAUGAUUGACUUAUAUACAGAGACUAAGAGAAUAGAAUCGUGGAAUCAAAAGUGAAAAAAGUUAUUGAAAAUAAACAUUUUCAAGGAGCCGUCGAGAAUAAAAACGUAACGUUUCUUGAAAACUAACGGAGUUACAAAUUUGGCGUCUUCGUUUGUAGUAAAUAUUGAGUGACCACCUGAAGUGGGUCGUCGAUUGUUUGCUUUCCACGUAAAGCUAACAAUAGCGUGGAAUCCAGCAUGGCCAGCAUGAUUCGAAGUCAAAUGGACACAUCCAGACUCCACGAUACCUUCCCUACUCACAAACACUCCAUCCUGUAGCUUUUGGUGGAGUCGCAGCGGUAAUCACGGUCCUUCACGUAACAAAGGUUGGUACUGAUAUUCCUUUCCUCUUUAAACCUGACUGCAAGGACGUGCUCAGCGCCGUUAUUGUACCGUUACACAGUGGCUGAUUUCGUCAUUUUAGCGCGCUUAAUUAAUAACUUUUUAACUAUGACGUUUAGUGUUAUGGUGCCUUCGAGAAAGUUUUUCGCUAUAAUAAGGAGCUUCUUUUGAACUAUUGUAAAAAAUGAUCAAUCCCCCUAAAAGUGAGAUAGAAAAUUUAUUUUUUGCAUUUUUCAAGAUACACGGUUGGUGUCUUCAUAAAAGUUGUAGAAAAUGUUAUUUGGAGCAACUUUGCCAAAGGCGCCAAGUUUGUAACUCCGUUACUUUUCAAGAUACGUUACGUUUUUUAUCAUCAGCCCCUUGAAAAGGGUUUUUGCGCAAUAACUUUAGAAGAGUUGAUUCUACAUUUUUCUGAUGUUCUACAAAGUUAUAGAUAAUGGUAAAACACAUAACUUUGCCGAACACAACAUCCCGCUAAUUUCAAAAAUAAAAUAGUUAUAACGGUUUUUGUAGUUUUUUUGACCAUAUUUCAAGCAUAUAUAACCUAGCUAUAGGCAAUUAUAUGCAAAUUUCUUUUUACGCAUGUGAAUAUAUAAGUAAUUGCCUCUCUUAGAAAGCCAAAACCAUCAAACUGUAAGAGACUGUAAGAUGGUUUUUGUACAGAAACUUUCAACCAUCUAUGUUACUUUUAUAUGGGAUUUAUUCAUAUCUUCAACAUAUUUUUUUGAGAGUUCAUGACAGCUUGCAUUUUUAUUGUUAUCGUAAGUGUGUGAAUAUAUAGUAAGGAUUGUGGUGUAUUCUGGAGCAUUCAUGAAGUACGUUACAUGAAAACUUACCAUCUACUUCUAUUUUCUGACUAACUGACAGUGCUGCACGUAGUCCUCGAAAAGAACGCAUAAAGUGUUACUUUUUUGUCAGAUCACGAUUAAACAGCACCUUACUGUAAAGUACAGUGAGAUUUAUUAUCAGCUAUAACUAUUGUAGACAUGUACUAGAGGGAGCGUUCACAAAAUAUGUCACGCGCAAGUUAAGAAUUUGAGAAAAAAUGGCACUGCGUUCGCUCUUUUCGUGGACUACGUGCAGCACUGUGAGUUAGUAAGAAAAUAUAAAUAAAUGGUAAGUUUUCGUGUAACGUACUUCAUGAAUGCUCCAGAAUGCACCACAAUCCAUUCUAUAUAUUCACACACACGUACAAUAACAAUAAAAAUGCAAGCCGUAAUGAACCCUCAAAAAAAUAUGGUGAAGAUAUGAAUAAAUCCCAUAUAAAAGUAACAUAGAUGGUUGAAAGUUUCUGUGCAAAAACCAUCUUACAGUCUCUUACAGUUUGAUGGUUUUGGCUUUCUAAGAAAGGCAAUUACUUGUAUAUUCACAUGCGUAAAAGGAAAUUUGCAUAUAAUUGCCUAUAGCUAGGUUAUAUAUGCUUGAAAUAUGGCCCAAAAAACUAUAAAAUCCGUUAUAACUACUUUAUUUUUGAAACUAGCGGGAUGUUGUGUUCGGCAAAGUUAUGUAUUUUACCAUUAUCUAUAACUUUGUAGAACAUCAGAAAAAUGUAGAAUCAACUCUUCGAAAGUUAUUGCGCAAAAACCCUUUUCAAGGGGCUGAUGAUAAAAGACGUAACGUAUCUUGAAAAGUAACGGAGUUACAAACUUGGCGCCUUUGGCAAAGUUGCUCCAAAUAACAUUUUCUACAACUUUUGUAAAGACACCAACCGUGUAUCUUGAAAAAUGCAAAAAAUAAAUUUUCUAUCUCACUUUUAGGGGGAUUGAUCAUUUUUUACAAUAGUUCAAAAGAAGCUCCUUAUUAUAGCGAAAAACUUUCUCGAAGACACCAUGACGCUAAA